RNAcentral lists this unclassified non-coding RNA (194 nucleotides) under fungal sp. RNAcentral's name for it is "partial internal transcribed spacer region". The stretch from base 1 to 46 matches the Rfam family "Eukaryotic small subunit ribosomal RNA", at positions 1786 to 1831 of the family's 1831-position model. Lineage: Eukaryota; Fungi. The record is from RNAcentral.
AAGUCGUAACAAGGUUUCCGUAGGUGAACCUGCGGAAGGAUCAUUAUUGAUGUCCACACACAUCUUCAAACCACUGUGAACCACCGGGAGCGCGUAAAAACCUCCCUCCUUCAUAACCUUUACACCCUGUUAAUUGUAAUAUGAACAUGUUAAAAAUUUGAAAACAACUUUCAACAACGGAUCUCUUGGCUCUC